RNAcentral lists this ribosomal RNA (384 nucleotides) under uncultured bacterium. RNAcentral describes it as "bacterial SSU rRNA". It matches the Rfam family "Bacterial small subunit ribosomal RNA", at positions 28 to 416 of the family's 1533-position model. The record is from RNAcentral.
GACGAACGCUGGCGGCGUGCUUAACACAUGCAAGUCGAGCGGUAAGGCCCUUCGGGGUACGACGAGCGGCGAACGGGUGAGUAACACGUGGGUGACCUGCCUCUAGCUCUGGGAUAAGCCUGGGAAACUGGGUCUAAUACCGGAUAUGACUCCACGGCGCAUGUUGUGGGGUGGAAAGCCUUGUGUGGCUAGAGAUGGGCCCGCGGCCUAUCAGCUUGUUGGUGGGGUGAUGGCCACCAAGGCGACGACGGUAGCCGGCCUGAGAGGGCGACCGGCCACACUGGGACUGAGACACGGCCCAGACUCCUACGGGAGGCAGCAGUGGGGAAUCUUGCGCAAUGGGCGAAAGCCUGACGCAGCGACGCCGCGUGAGGGAUGACGGCC